RNAcentral lists this transfer RNA (97 nucleotides) under Desulfosarcina sp. BuS5. RNAcentral's name for it is "tRNA-Ser". Lineage: Bacteria; Pseudomonadati; Thermodesulfobacteriota; Desulfobacteria; Desulfobacterales; Desulfosarcinaceae. The record is from RNAcentral.
UGGUGGAGGCGGCGGGAGUCGAACCCGCGUCCGAAAACAUUCCACACAGGCAUCUACAUACUUAUCCCGAAUUUUGAUUGUCGGCUUUCAAAUCUCC